UCUUUAGACAUCGCAUCAAUUGAAUGAACUAGGCAUCUUUAUUACCCCCAUUUAUGGAUGAGGAAACUGAGGCUCAGAAAGCUGUUUAACUUCCACAAAGCCACACAGCAAGUGUGUGGUUGAGCCGAGUUUGGAAUCCAUGUCUCUCUGAUAUCAAAGCUCCAGGCAUUUAAGUCAAGCAUCAGCUUCCAUGCAGCAGCUCUCCUCCCAGCUUUAUUCCAUCAGCUCAGCAGUUCUGAUGAUGACGCCUCUUUGACUCCACCUGUGGCGCAGCCUGCCUCCAGCCCUCUCCACUUAGCACUCCGUUCAUAUAGGACUCCUGUUGUCCUAAAGAUUUGGUCAGUCCUUCCAGCUCCCAUUAAUCUGGAUUCCUCCAGAGGGCACAGAUUCCUGCUGGCCAUAUUUCGGAUGUAAUUGGCUCCCCACUAAUCAGCUCUGUAAUCUGAGGCAAAGCCUCUCCAUCCUCCCAUUCUAGGACUCACAGUAACCUGUAUACUUCAUUCAAGCUUUGCUGAACUACAAGAAGAGCCAAUUACCUUCUGGCAGCCAUCUUGGAUGAUGAAGUAGCAACCUUGCAGGACGCAAGCCAUGGUCCAGGAUGGCGAGGCAUAAAGAAGGAAGAUGCCUGCAUUCGUGGUGGCAGUGAGUUGCUGUACCAGCUUUGGAUUGCCUACCUUUGGAUCUUUUUUUAUAUCAAAAAUAUACCCCUCAUCUAUUUAAGCCACUCUGAUCAGGUCUCUGAUUACCAACAGUCAAAGGCAAUUUAAAGCUAAAGGCUUUUAAUCAGUCUUUGAGCUUGGUUAGUUCUAUUCACUAGCAUAAGUCAUAAAUUUCUCUUUGGUUGCAGGCAUUUGGGAGAGUCUGACAUCCAUUUCCUGAAAUACUGUGAAAUUUUCAUUAAUCAUCAAGUAGUUUAUUUUCCAGUUAGAUUUUUCAAAUACAGUUGUUCUGUGGCAACUCUGGAGCAGGUGCUUGAUGACGCAUGGAAAGGUUUUGUCCAAGUAAUACACAAGAGUGAACAGAUGUGGACGUUAACAGUUAAAAUGGAAGGAACAUCUGUAAAUGUAUUUUUUCUAGUUUUCCAAAUGUAAUUCAAUCCCCCCCCCCAAAAAGACUCUUAGUGGCCUCCAAACUUAUGUGAAGGAACUGGUAAAAGAUGAGCCAGACCAACAUCAGUAGCUGAACACAUCGGUUACCUAAACAGAAGAGGGAAGGCAAAGUGGCCCUAAGGAGUGAGGCAUAGGUGAUGUCUUUUCAGGGACACCAGGAAGAAUUUGGCUUCCUCUCAGACAUCUCAGGCUAGUGCCUAGGCUUCCUACCAAGAAUUUUUGUCAAUUUACUUAGAUCCUUGUUGGGAAGACACUAGAAGGAAAAAGGUCAAAUUGAUGAGGAUACACAGGGAGGAUAAGUUCAUUGCUAGAACCCACUCCAUGGGCUUGAGGAAUUUGGAAAGGACUGUAUUUCUAGUCAAAAAGCGGCUGCUCUGAAAUUCAUGGUUUCUAGCCUUACAUGUCCCUCUUGACAUCAUCAAAAUAUCAUUAACCAAAUCUCUUUCUUUUGUAGAUGCUCCCCACUCCCACCUCUCUGUUGCUAGGAAUGUUUACAGAAUCAAGUUCAUUAGUUUAAUUUAUAUUUAAAGCAUCUUUACCACUUACUCUAGUGGGAUGUCUUAUGCCUAAGAGGUUGUUCUCUUGUCUUUUGGGACGUUGUUUGAGAAAAUAAGAGGCUUUAUCUCCAUAGUCCUUCUAUCUAUCAAGAUUUCUUUGAGGAGGGUCCAGUUGUAUAUUACAGUAUAGCAUUUUUACAGGUUGGUCACAGAAUAGCACAGACCCAUUCUUCUGCAAAUUUUACCCUAUUUUUCCUAUUGUUAAGUUAUGUCAAUAUUCUUGUAUAAAGGCAGCAUAAAACACCAUUUAGAGCUUGUAAAAUUCUAUUGAAUGUCUUUGAUUAUUGUUUAGAACAAAUAUCAUUGGGAGAGUCACGGACUUUAUCAGUGAUACAAAUUUUAGUGUAAUACCUGAAACAGGGGCUUGAUAGAAAACUUAGAAGAAAAAGUGUGAGCACACUUGGCGCCUAGAAAUAUGAGGCCAAAUGUUACCAUGCAGGGGAGGAAGGGUUGGGAGGAGAGAAGGAGGUGAGUGGGAUCACAGAGGCUGACAGAGGUGUGAUAA
Equus caballus (horse) is the source of this 2171-nucleotide long non-coding RNA. The record is from Ensembl. Lineage: Eukaryota; Metazoa; Chordata; Mammalia; Perissodactyla; Equidae.